AAAGGCAGCUAUAUCUUUCAUAUAUUACCCUGCAGCCCAAGACUGGUUGCCCACUGAAGCUAAGCAGGGUUGAGUCUGGUCAGUACCGGGAUGGGAGACCUCCUGGGAAAACUAGGUUGCUGCUGGAA
Molecule: ribosomal RNA, 128 nt
Filed under: Sinocyclocheilus grahami
Lineage: Eukaryota; Metazoa; Chordata; Actinopteri; Cypriniformes; Cyprinidae
Source: RNAcentral